GAUGAACGCUAGCGGGAGGCUUAACACAUGCAAGUCGAGGGGCAGCAUAGGGUAGCAAUACUCUGAUGGCGACCGGCAAACGGGUGAGUAACGCGUAUGCAACCUACCCUGUACAGGGGGAUAACCCGGAGAAAUUCGGACUAAUAUCCCGUAAUAAUAUCCGGAGGCAUCUUUGGAUAUUUAAAGUUUCGACGGUACGGGAUGGGCAUGCGUAACAUUAGCUGGUUGGUAAGGUGACGGCUUACCAAGGCUAUGAUGUUUAGGGGUCCUGAGAGGGUGGUCCCCCACACUGGUACUGAGACACGGACCAGACUCCUACGGGAGGCAGCAGUGAGGAAUAUUGGUCAAUGGGCGCAAGCCUGAACCAGCCACCCCGCGUGCAGGAAGACGGCCCUAUGGGUUGUAAACUGCUUUUCCAGGGAGAGAAACUUACGCACGUGUUGCGUGACUGACGGUACCCUGGGAAUAAGCAUCGGCUAACUCCGUG
Molecule: ribosomal RNA, 487 nt
Filed under: uncultured bacterium
Lineage: Bacteria
Description: bacterial SSU rRNA
Rfam family: Bacterial small subunit ribosomal RNA
Source: RNAcentral